This 104-nucleotide small RNA is filed under the name Salmonella enterica. RNAcentral's name for it is "partial RtT sRNA". It matches the Rfam family "RtT RNA", at positions 29 to 130 of the family's 130-position model. From Rfam's summary of the family: This family represents a bacterial cis-regulatory element known as RtT RNA. The exact function of RtT is unknown although it is thought that it may be involved in changing the cellular response in relation to amino acid starvation. The record is from RNAcentral. Lineage: Bacteria; Pseudomonadati; Pseudomonadota; Gammaproteobacteria; Enterobacterales; Enterobacteriaceae.
GCUUCGACCAAGGUUCGAUUCGAGCGUCAGCGAGAAAGCGUUGCCGCAGGCAACGACCCGAAGGGUAAGGAGCGCAGCGCUGAGUCAUCCUUCCUCCCUCAUCC